GAUGAUCGCUAGCGGCAGGCCUAAUACAUGCAAGUCGAACGGGAUUGCGGUAGUAGCUUGCUACUACUGCAUGAGAGUGGCGCACGGGUGCGUAACGCGUGAGCAACCUACCCAUAUCAGGGGGAUAGCCCGGCGAAAGUCGGAUUAACACCGCAUAACAUCAACAGUUCGCAUGUUCAGUUGAUUAAAUAUUUAUAGGAUAUGGAUGGGCUCGCGUGACAUUAGCUAGUUGGUAGGGUAACGGCUUACCAAGGCAACGAUGUCUAGGGGCUCUGAGAGGAGAAUCCCCCACACUGGUACUGAGACACGGACCAGACUCCUACGGGAGGCAGCAGUAAGGAAUAUUGGUCAAUGGGCGCAAGCCUGAACCAGCCAUGCCGCGUGCAGGAGGACUGCCCUAUGGGUUGUAAACUGCUUUUAUCAGGGAAUAAACCCCUUUACGAGUAGAGGGUUGAAUGUACCUGAAGAAUAAGGAUCGGCUAACUCCGUG
RNAcentral lists this ribosomal RNA (490 nucleotides) under uncultured bacterium. RNAcentral describes it as "partial 16S ribosomal RNA". It matches the Rfam family "Bacterial small subunit ribosomal RNA", at positions 28 to 507 of the family's 1533-position model. The record is from RNAcentral.